This 325-nucleotide ribosomal RNA is filed under the name uncultured Chloroflexota bacterium. RNAcentral's name for it is "bacterial SSU rRNA". It matches the Rfam family "Bacterial small subunit ribosomal RNA", at positions 28 to 351 of the family's 1533-position model. Lineage: Bacteria; Bacillati; Chloroflexota. The record is from RNAcentral.
GAUGAACGCUGGCGGCGUGCCUAAUACAUGCAAGUCGAACGGAGUUGUUGUAGCAAUACGGCAACUCAGUGGCGAACGGGUGAGUAACGCGUUGGUGACCUGCCCCGAAGAGGGGGAUAACAGUCCGAAAGGAUUGCUAAUACCCCAUGUGGUCAUCGGUUUUAGAAUCUGGUGACCAAAGUCGUAAGACACUUUGGGAGGGACCUGCGUCCCAUCAGCUAGUUGGUAAGGUAACGGCCUACCAAGGCUAUGACGGGUAGGGGACCUGAGAGGGUGGACCCCCACAAUGGCACUGAAACACGGGCCAUACACCUACGGGUGGCAG